This 468-nucleotide ribosomal RNA is filed under the name uncultured bacterium. Its description in RNAcentral is "partial 16S ribosomal RNA". It matches the Rfam family "Bacterial small subunit ribosomal RNA", at positions 28 to 507 of the family's 1533-position model. The record is from RNAcentral.
GACGAACGCUGGCGGCGUGCUUAACACAUGCAAGUCGAACGGAAAGGCCCUGCUUUUUUGGGGUGCUCGAGUGGCGAACGGGUGAGUAACACGUGAGUAACCUGCCCUUGACUUUGGGAUAACUUCAGGAAACUGGGGCUAAUACCGGAUAGGAGCUCCUGCUGCAUGGUGGGGGUUGGAAAGUUUCGGCGGUUGGGGAUGGACUCGCGGCUUAUCAGCUUGUUGGUGGGGUAGUGGCUUACCAAGGCUUUGACGGGUAGCCGGCCUGAGAGGGUGAACGGCCACAUUGGGACUGAGAUACGGCCCAGUCUCCUACGGGAGGCAGCAGUGGGGAAUAUUGCACAAUGGGCGGAAGCCUGAUGCAGCAACGCCGCGUGCGGGAUGACGGCCUUCGGGUUGUAAACCGCUUUCGCCUGUGACGAAGCGGGAGUGACGGUAAUGGGUAAAGAAGCACCGGCUAACUACGUG